RNAcentral lists this ribosomal RNA (253 nucleotides) under uncultured bacterium. Its description in RNAcentral is "partial 16S ribosomal RNA". It matches the Rfam family "Bacterial small subunit ribosomal RNA", at positions 524 to 776 of the family's 1533-position model. The record is from RNAcentral.
UACGGAGGGUGCAAGCGUUGUCCGGAUUUAUUGGGUUUAAAGGGUGCGUAGGCGGGCCGGUAAGUCCGCUCUGAAAGUCCAGGGCUCAACCCUGGAAAGCGGGUGGAUACUGCCGGGCUAGAAUCCGGAAGAGGCGAGUGGAAUUCCUGGUGUAGCGGUGGAAUGCGCAGAUAUCAGGAGGAACACCAAUAGCGAAGGCAGCUCGCUGGGACGGUAUUGACGCUAAGGCGCGAAAGCGUGGGGAGCAAACAGG